This 474-nucleotide ribosomal RNA is filed under the name uncultured organism. Its description in RNAcentral is "partial 16S ribosomal RNA". It matches the Rfam family "Bacterial small subunit ribosomal RNA", at positions 333 to 798 of the family's 1533-position model. The record is from RNAcentral.
ACACUCCUGCGGGAGGCAGCAGUGGGGAAUUUUGGACAAUGGGCGAAAGCCUGAUCCAGCAAUGCCGCGUGAGUGAAGAAGGCCUUCGGGUUGUAAAGCUCUUUUGUCAGGGAAGAAACGGUGAGAGCUAAUAUCUCUUGCUAAUGACGGUACCUGAAGAAUAAGCACCGGCUAACUACGUGCCAGCAGCCGCGGUAAUACGUAGGGUGCAAGCGUUAAUCGGAAUUACUGGGCGUAAAGCGUGCGCAGGCGGUUUUGUAAGUCUGAUGUGAAAUCCCCGGGCUCAACCUGGGAAUUGCAUUGGAGACUGCAAGGCUAGAAUCUGGCAGAGGGGGGUAGAAUUCCACGUGUAGCAGUGAAAUGCGUAGAUAUGUGGAGGAACACCGAUGGCGAAGGCAGCCCCCUGGGUCAAGAUUGACGCUCAUGCACGAAAGCGUGGGGAGCAAACAGGAUUAGAUACCCUUGUAGUCCCAU